GAGAUUUAAGUAUAAUUUUUGUAUUUUAUUUUUUCAUAAUAAAGGGGAUAAAAUCUUU
This 58-nucleotide transfer RNA is filed under the name Dictyocaulus viviparus (bovine lungworm). Its description in RNAcentral is "tRNA-Glu". Lineage: Eukaryota; Metazoa; Nematoda; Chromadorea; Rhabditida; Metastrongylidae. The record is from RNAcentral.